UUGAAAUCCUUUAGGAUGUUGCUGGCCUUUCGAGGCAAUGUGCACUCCGCCUUUUUCAAUUCACCUGUGAACUUAUUGUAGGCUGGGAUCGUUAACUCGAUCCUAUGUCUAUGUUUUUUAUAUAUACCCCUAUAAAAAUGUAACAGAAUGUCUUGAUGAUUGGAAUAAAUUAUUAUA
This 177-nucleotide unclassified non-coding RNA is filed under the name uncultured Clavariaceae. RNAcentral's name for it is "sequence contains ITS1". Lineage: Eukaryota; Fungi; Basidiomycota; Agaricomycetes; Agaricales; Clavariaceae. The record is from RNAcentral.